CAGUAGCCGCGGAAAUACGAAGGGUGCAAGCGUUACUCGGAAUUACUGGGCGUAAAGCGUGCGUAGGUGGUGGUUUAAGUCCGUUGUGAAAGCCCUGGGCUCAACCUGGGAAUUGCAGUGGAUACUGGGUCACUAGAGUGUGGUAGAGGAUAGUGGAAUUUCCGGUGUAGCAGUGAAAUGCGUAGAGAUCGGAAGGAACAUCUGUGGCGAAGGCGACUAUCUGGGCCAACACUGACACUGAGGCACGAAAGCGUGGGGAGCAAACAGGAUUAGAUACCCCCGUAGUCCCUGUCUCUUAUAC
RNAcentral lists this ribosomal RNA (301 nucleotides) under uncultured bacterium. RNAcentral's name for it is "partial 16S ribosomal RNA". It matches the Rfam family "Bacterial small subunit ribosomal RNA", at positions 509 to 807 of the family's 1533-position model. The record is from RNAcentral.